This 286-nucleotide ribosomal RNA is filed under the name Pseudomonas aeruginosa. RNAcentral's name for it is "partial 16S ribosomal RNA". It matches the Rfam family "Bacterial small subunit ribosomal RNA", at positions 903 to 1185 of the family's 1533-position model. Lineage: Bacteria; Pseudomonadati; Pseudomonadota; Gammaproteobacteria; Pseudomonadales; Pseudomonadaceae. The record is from RNAcentral.
UAAAAUGAAUUGACAGGGGCCCGCACAAGCGUGUGGAGCAUGAGGUUUAAUUUGAAGCAACGCGAAGAACCUUACCUGGCCUUGACAUGCUGAGAACUUUCCAGAGAUGGAUUGGUGCCUUCGGGAACUCAGACACAGGUGCUGCAUGGCUGUCGUCAGCUCGUGUCGUGAGAUGUUGGGUUAAGUCCCGUAACGAGCGCAACCCUUGUCCUUAGUUACCAGCACCUCGGGUGGGCACUCUAAGGAGACUGCCGGUGACAAACCGGAGGAAGGUUGGGGAUGACGG